RNAcentral lists this ribosomal RNA (260 nucleotides) under uncultured prokaryote. RNAcentral describes it as "partial 16S ribosomal RNA". It matches the Rfam family "Bacterial small subunit ribosomal RNA", at positions 524 to 784 of the family's 1533-position model. The record is from RNAcentral.
UACGGGGGUGCAAGCGUUGUUCGGAAUCAUUGGGCGUAAAGAGCGUGUAGGCGGCUGAGCAAGUCAGAUGUGAAAUCCCUGGGCUUAACCCAGGAAGUGCAUUUGAAACUGUUCAGCUUGAGUAAGGAAGAGGGAAGUGGAAUUCCUGGUGUAGAGGUGAAAUUCGUAGAUAUCAGGAGGAACACCGGUGGCGAAGGCGACUUCCUGGUCCUAUACUGACGCUGAGACGCGAGAGCGUGUGGAGCAAACAGGAUUAGAUA